UGGGGAAUAUUGCACAAUGGGCGAAAGCCUGAUGCAGCAACGCCGCGUGAGGGACGACGGCCUUCGGGUUGUAAACCUCUUUUAGCAAGGAAGAAGCGAAAGUGACGGUACUUGCAGAAAAAGCGCCGGCUAACUACGUGCCAGCAGCCGCGGUAAUACGUAGGGCGCAAGCGUUAUCCGGAAUUAUUGGGCGUAAAGAGCUCGUAGACGGUUUGUCGCGUCUGCUGUGAAAACCCCGAGGCUCAACCUCGGGCCUGCAGUGGGUACGGGCAGACUAGAGUGCGGUAGGGGAGAUUGGAACUCCUGGUGUAGCGGUGGAAUGCGCAGAUAUCAGGAAGAACACCGAUGGCGAAGGCAGAUCUCUGGGCCGUAACUGACGCUGAGGAGCGAAAGGGUGGGGAGCAAACAGGCUUAGAUACCCUGGUAGUCCACCCCGUAAACGUUGGGAACUAGUUGUGGGGUCCAUUUCCACGGAUUCCGUGACGCAGCUAACGCAUUAAGUUCCCCGCCUGGGGAGUACGGCCGCAAGGCUAAAACUUAAAUGAAUUGACGGGGUCAUAGCUGUUUCCU
Molecule: ribosomal RNA, 570 nt
Filed under: uncultured bacterium
Lineage: Bacteria
Description: partial 16S ribosomal RNA
Rfam family: Bacterial small subunit ribosomal RNA
Source: RNAcentral